ACGGGUGAGUAACGCGUGGGAACGUACCUUUUGGUUCGGAACAACUGAGGGAAACUUCAGCUAAUACCGGAUAAGCCCUUACGGGGAAAGAUUUAUCGCCGAAAGAUCGGCCCGCGUCUGAUUAGCUAGUUGGUGAGGUAAUGGCUCACCAAGGCGACGAUCAGUAGCUGGUCUGAGAGGAUGAUCAGCCACAUUGGGACUGAGACACGGCCCAAACUCCUACGGAAGGCAGCAGUGGGGAAUAUUGGACAAUGGGCGAAAGCCUGAUCCAGCCAUGCCGCGUGAGUGAUGAAGGCCCUAGGGUUGUAAAGCUCUUUUGUGCGGGAAGAUAAUGACGGUACCGCAAGAAUAAGCCCCGGCUAACUUCGUGCCAGCAGCCGCGGUAAUACGAAGGGGGCUAGCGUUGCUCGGAAUCACUGGGCGUAAAGGGUGCGUAGGCGGGUUCUUAAGUCAGAGGUGAAAUCCUGGAGCUCAACUCCAGAACUGCCUUUGAUACUGAGAGUCUUGAGUAUGACAGAGGUGAGUGGAACUGCGAGUGUAGAGGUGAAAUUCGUAGA
Molecule: ribosomal RNA, 557 nt
Filed under: uncultured Bradyrhizobiaceae bacterium
Lineage: Bacteria; Pseudomonadati; Pseudomonadota; Alphaproteobacteria; Hyphomicrobiales; Nitrobacteraceae
Description: bacterial SSU rRNA
Rfam family: Bacterial small subunit ribosomal RNA
Source: RNAcentral